This is a long non-coding RNA of Bos taurus (domestic cattle), 1735 nucleotides long. NCBI's taxonomy places the organism in Eukaryota, Metazoa, Chordata, Mammalia, Artiodactyla, Bovidae. The record is from Ensembl.
GUGCCAGACAUUGUGCUCAGUGAUGAUGGACAUGGGCAGCGUCCCUUGGGAACUUGCAAUUCAGCUGAAACAGUGAAACCAGCAGAUUCAAGGCUACAAUUCAGACAGCCGGCGAGAAAACCCAUAAGGCAUGGGAAAGAAAAUAGGCACUGUGUGGAUACAGAGGAGAUCAUUUUGGACCUAGCUAACCAGAAAAAUGAGGAUGAUGAGGUGUUCAACAGAUGGAGGUGGUGUGAGGUGAUAACAGGAGUAUUCUGUUUAAUAACAUAGUGAUGAUCUUUGUAUAUCACAGACCAUCAUAGCCUAUGCAUCUUAAAAGAAGGUUUCCAUUUAUCAGAACCAGAGAUAACCAAUUCAAACUGAAAAGGUCACUCUAGAGCCUCAUUCCCACAAGAGAUAUCAUGUGGCUUCAAGAAACUUCAAGGUAUCCAUGCGUUACUCAUCUGAGGAUCUUCAGAACUUAAACCAGAGCCUAAUGCAAAGGAACAAUCUAAUUAAUGCUAAUUGAGAGGAAAUGGAUGAAUAAUCAAAUAUUCCCUUUGCUUUGUGCUGAAGAAUUGAUGCUUUUGAACUAUGGUGUUGGAGAAGACUCUUGAGAGUCCCUUGGACUGCAAGGAGAUCAAACCAGGCAAUCCAAAAUGAAAUCAACCCUGAAUAUUCACUGGAAGAACUGAAGCUGAAGCUCCAAUACUUUGGCCACCUGAUGCGAAGAACUGAUUCAUUGGAAAAGACCCUGAUGCUGGGAAAGAUUGAAAGCAGGAGGAAAAGGCAGCGACAGGGGAUGAGAUGGCUGGAUGGCAUCACCGACUCAAUGGACACGACUUUGAGUCAACUCUGGGAGAUAGUGAAGGACAGGGAAGCCUGACAUGCUACAGUCCAUGGGGUCGAAAGAGUUGAACAUGACUUAGCAACUGAACUUUGUUUUCAGUGAAUGGGCUGAUUAAAUUAGGCAGAAGAAGCUGUUCUAUAUGGCAAACUCUCCACAUGUCAAACCCAUCAACCAAUAAUGAGACUGCACCAUGUGCUAGGAUGUGCUCACUUGCUCAGUUGGGUCCGACUCUUUGUGAUCCCAUGGACUGUAGCCCACCAGGCUACUCGGUCCAUGGGAUUUUCCCAGCAAGAAUCCUGGAAUCUAUUGUCAUCUCCUCCUCCAGGGGGUCUUCCUCACCAAGACCUCUUGGAUUCAAGAGACCUGAAUCCAAGCCUCUUGCAUCUCCUACAGUAGCAGGCAGAUUCUUCACCACUGUAGCACCUGGGAAGCCCCAGUUGCCAUGAUAUUGGUGGUGGUUAUUCGUUUCUCUGCAUAUUGACUUGUUUAUAUUUCAACACCCACCUUUUCCAUUUCCAUUCAACUGUUGUUUAUUUAAUUCUAACGACCAACUAUGAAAUAAGAUAUAUUAUCCUCAUUUUGCAGCUGAGGAAACAACAAAGGCUCAGAAAUAUUAAUAGUUUUAUGAUCUCCAUCAAUUCACUCAGCUAAUAAGGGCUGGAAACUGGAUUUCACUGUGGAAUGUUUUUGAUUCCCAGUUUGCAAAGGACAACUUAUGAAGAAGUCUUAGAAGAAAGCUAUUCCAAAAACUCACUGAUCUCUUCUGCCCAAGAGAAAGUUCUAUACUCGCAGGACCAGCCUUGCACUGGGUUUUGCCCAAGAGGCAUUAAGAGAAAAUUCUGUCACAGAGAUAGUCUCUGCAAAUGAAAUUGGAAGAUCCAGGAAACCGGAGAAAAUAAAAUACCC